GUCCAUAUUUCAUAUAAUUCUGAACUUAUGUGCUAAUAAGAGUUAAUAUAUACGAUAACAUACCAAUAUUUUUUUUUUGGUUUUUCACCCGGUGUCCGAAGCCCACAUUAUGAAUUCGGAUCGCGCACUGUAGGGUCCAUUUGGGGGUGGCGCUCCCAACAUAAUUUUCUCCAUACCGAAGGCUCAAACUCGAGACCUGUGGUUAAGGGUAAAACACUCCCACCACUGCAUCACAACCCAUUAAAAUGUACAGUAGAUUCAUUCAAUUGAAUUCCUAUAUAAAUUCAAUUCCCAAAAUUUUGAGCUAAGAUUAAUAAUUUUCGUUGAAAAUGGCGAAAGCAAAAGUGACAAUGGAGGUUGGGAACGACGGCGUUGCGGUAAUUACAUUCGUCAAUCCGCCGGUGAAUGCUCUUGCUAUUCAAAUUUUCGCUGGGUUAAAGGAGAAAUGGAAUGAGGCAGCUAUGAGAAAUGAUGUCAAAGCUAUUGUUCUCACUGAUGUGUAGGGAGUUUAUGGACAAGAAGAUCCAGAUUUUCUCAAGUAUCCAACGCCACUCGCGUUAGAGCAUUUUUAUCCUAAAAUGCUGGAACUCUGCACUUUUGAUUAAAGUGCUUUUGGAAGGUUCAAAUUCCAGUGGAGCUAGAUCAAAACACUAUAGGUUAGUGUAAGGUGGCCCGGACACUGCAAUUGGACAACGCUAUGAAUAUUCUUUCAUAUCUUCUACUCCCCAGACAUUCAUAUUUCUCCCAAGAAUAAUGUUACGUCAGCUAUUGCUUUAAUACUUUGAUAGACAAUAACUUUCCUCCAGGUUGAACUGCUCCAAUGGAUCUAAAAUUUAAAUGACAAGCAAAACAGAUUUUUCACAAACCACAGGACUAAAAUCUAAUUGAUUUUAUAAGCAACGAGCCAGUGUCGGCAUCCCUUUUUAAGUUUUCCCCUAUUUUCUUGCGCCUUCCCUCAAACUUUAGUCUUCAUCGUACUUUGGAUCUUUAGUCAUUAAAAUUAUCAUGAUUAAAUUGUCGAAUUUAAUGGUGGUUGACUUGACGAAAAUAAAGGUGCAAGCUAGAGAUAGUUCAUAUGAUAUAUGACAUGAUAGGAUACUUUUUAUCAGAAGGUGGGUGAUUAGAUCUUCAGAAGAUAAUUACUAAACCAAGUAUCAUAUAUUUUAUUCCGAUGAAACGUGAACAUUUUGCCUAGGUAUCAUGAAAGCGGAGCAUCU
This is a long non-coding RNA of Solanum tuberosum (potato), 1217 nucleotides long. RefSeq lists it as uncharacterized. Lineage: Eukaryota; Viridiplantae; Streptophyta; Magnoliopsida; Solanales; Solanaceae. The record is from RefSeq and is a predicted model, not a curated record. The transcript is spliced from 5 exons.